RNAcentral lists this small RNA (28 nucleotides) under Bombyx mori (domestic silkworm). Its description in RNAcentral is "ovarian small RNA-17514". The record is from RNAcentral. Lineage: Eukaryota; Metazoa; Arthropoda; Insecta; Lepidoptera; Bombycidae.
GGGCUGGAUAUCGGCCCGCGUGCGCCUU